UUAAUAAAAUUCUCUGGCUUCCAGAGUCUUCUCUCAGACGCUCCUCCUUCUCUCUAGAUUCUCUCUCUACAUUCUUCAUGAUUUUUCGGUUUAAUCUCAUUGUUUACAUGGUAUCAGAGCCUAGACGACGAUCCGACUAUGUUUCUCUGCAUCUCGUUGUCUUGGUUGAACUCUUCUUUGAGAUUUUUUGGGAUUUUUCUGAGACCUUGUGGUCGAUGAUGAUUCCGACCUAGAUCUGAUGCCUUUCCGAGUUUUUCAUCAUGAUAUUUGAGUGUAUUUUCUUCACUCGAACGUUCUGGGAGAUUUUCUGCUGAUUUUUGGGUGAUUUUUCGGUGACCUAUCGGCUUCUAGGGUUUCUGGUGGUUUAACCUAGAGUUUUAUGCUAUCCGGUGGAUCGAUCCUCACUCAGUGGAUGUUUAGAGUGACUUUCCGACAUCCCUCCCCAUAUUUCCAGUAAGGUUUUCAACGGUUGCACCUAGGGUUUUGUACCUAGGGUUUUCUCUGACUGAUUGAAGGCCGAUCUUCUCUGGUCGCGAAGAAGGAGGGUGAUGGUUACACCUAGGGUUUUGUACCUAGGGUUUUCUCUAUUGUUUGAAGGCCGAUCUUCUCCGGUCGCAAAGAAGGAGGGUAACUCUGUCCUUAUCUUUAGUAUUGUAUGCUUUGUGUGUGAUUAUCUGACUCUGUAUGUGAGUAUCUGGUGUUGUGUGUGAAUACCUGAUUUGGUUAUACUUUGUUUGUUGAAAAACUAUUUUUUUAGCCGGUUCAUUGAUUAUGGCUUCUAACACAAAUGCUGGUACUCCUCCUCUGUAGACUCUUUUAGCCCCCUUUUUGUAUAUUCUUCUGAUGUCCCUGGGGUUUCUCUUGUUCCCACUCCCUUCUCGGGUAGUGGUUAUGGGGGCUGGAGGCGUAGUAUAUUCUUCUGAUGUCCCUGGGGUUUCUCUUGUUCCGACUCCCUUAUCGGGUAGUGGUUAUGGGGGCUGGAGGCAUAAGAUGAUUGUUGCUUUAUCCGCUAAAAAUAAAAUCGGUUUUGUUGACGGUUCGUGUUCUUGUCCUGCCACUAAUGUGGCUCAACAGAGACUGUGGGACAGAUGUAAUAACAUGGUCAUUUCCUGGUUGACCUCCUCUCUGUCUCCUCAUUGCUGAUUGUGUGCAGUAUUCCGAUACUGCACAGAGUAUAUGGUCCCAAAUUGAGAAAAGAUAUGGUACCCCUAACAAGACCAAAAUUUUUGAAUUAAAAAGGGACCCUAUCUCCUCAGAUUGCUGAUAGUGUGCAGUAUUCCGAUACUGCACAGAGUAUAUGGUCCCGAAUUGAGAGAAGAUAUGGUACCCCUAACAAGACCCAAAAUUUUGAAUUAAAAAGGGAACUUUCCCACACAUCUCAAGGCUCCUUAGAUGUAGCCUCAUACUUCCAAAAUUUUUGAAUUAAAAAGGGAACUUUCCCACACAUCUCAAGGCUCCUUAGACGUAGCCUCAUACAUUAACAAGCUCAAAGGCUUGUGGGAUGAAUUGGGCACAAUGUGCACAAAUCAUGGGCAGAGAUGUGUGUGUGCUGCCAAAAAUGGAAUAAUUGAGGAAGAUGAUGAAAACAAGGUAUUCCAGUUUCUUAUGGGGUUAAAUGAAGCAUACCUGGGGGUUAGGAGUAAUUUGUUGAUGAUGCAGCUAUUUCCUUCCCUAGACAGUGUUUACAAUAUAGUGCUUAAUGAUGAGAAACAGAGACAAGUUCAAUCUAUCUCUCAAAUCUGUCCAGACCCUAUGUCUUUUAAUGCACAUGCAAACAAGCACCCAGUUGGGUUUAACCAGGCCACAGUGCCUAGACCCCCUAUUUUCAGACCCAGAGCAAAGCAGAGGGCCCUUAUUUUUCAGAUACUGCAAGAAAUCUGGGCACUUAAUUGAUAAGUGCUACAAGAUCCAUGGGUUUCCUCAN
This 1924-nucleotide long non-coding RNA is filed under the name Nicotiana benthamiana. Its description in RNAcentral is "long non-coding RNA (NBEN_LNC008398)". Lineage: Eukaryota; Viridiplantae; Streptophyta; Magnoliopsida; Solanales; Solanaceae. The record is from RNAcentral.